Molecule: ribosomal RNA, 253 nt
Filed under: uncultured bacterium
Lineage: Bacteria
Description: partial 16S ribosomal RNA
Rfam family: Bacterial small subunit ribosomal RNA
Source: RNAcentral
UACGAAGGGGGCUAGCGUUGCUCGGAAUUACUGGGCGUAAAGGGCGCGUAGGCGGUUCUAUAAGUCAGGCGUGAAGUUCCUGGGCUUAACCUGGGGGCUGCGCUUGAGACUGUGGGACUUGAGGUCAGAAGAGGGUCGUGGAAUUCCCAGUGUAGAGGUGAAAUUCGUAGAUAUUGGGAAGAACACCGGUGGCGAAGGCGGCAUCCUGGACCGAAACUGACACUGAGGCGCGAAAGCCAGGGGAGCAAACGGG